UGAACGGCUCGUGGAUUAGGCGUGAACAAAGGCGGUUCGUGGAUUCGGAUCGUUGGCUCGUGGAUACGAGUGGCGUCGUGGAUUCGGCGUGAUUGAAGCUUCGUGGAUUCGAAGUGGAUGCAUUCGUGGAUUCGAACGUGAGGGCGUGGACAACCCGGAGGAUAGCGCGAAGAUUCAUAGGAGGUUAAGAGAGGUUGAGUCCGUGGAGUCGGUAAUCACCUUGUAAUCUUUUUUCUUAGUGAAUUAUUUUUUCGCAUGUUGGUCCCGUGGGUUUUUCUCCAAGUUUGAGUUUUCCCACGUAAAUCUCGUUGUGCUUUUUAUUUUCCGCAUUUAUUUUUAUUGCAUCGAGAUUUGUGGUUUUUGGCCGUUCACCUAUUCACCCCCCUCUAGGUGAUAGAUACAAUCUAGAUAGAUCCUUGGGCUCCUCAAAUCUUUCAUAACUCUUUCCACAUCUUUUGAAUUUAAGAAAUUUUCAUAACCGGAAAG
This 486-nucleotide long non-coding RNA is filed under the name Ananas comosus (pineapple). RNAcentral's name for it is "long non-coding RNA (ACOM_LNC038267)". The record is from RNAcentral. Lineage: Eukaryota; Viridiplantae; Streptophyta; Magnoliopsida; Poales; Bromeliaceae.